Long non-coding RNA from Eriocheir sinensis (Chinese mitten crab), 980 nucleotides. RefSeq lists it as uncharacterized. The transcript is spliced from 4 exons. The record is from RefSeq and is a predicted model, not a curated record. NCBI's taxonomy places the organism in Eukaryota, Metazoa, Arthropoda, Malacostraca, Decapoda, Varunidae.
CAGGAUCUACAUGUAAACAAUCAGGCCGCGUGUGACACCCUCAGCCCCACGCUGGCCAGGCGCGGCGCCCCACACACCAGAACACUUCCUGCCACGGCUACACUCCCCCACACCAGCCGCAAGGCAGCCCCAGCCAGGCUCCACACCCUCAGGUCAGCCUGUGACACCCUCAGGGGAAUGCUCACGUUUUUGGGAUUGCUUCAAAGCUUGACGAGACACCUCUCCCAGGCUCCCUCCUUCACGCAGGACCACCCCUGGAGGAGGACUCCCUGGAGCCUGCCAAGGAGUACAGGGAUGCUGACAUCAAUGAGGCUAUACACGAUUAUGAACCAGUUGGUGAAGGGCUGGAGCCUCCUCUGAGCACCCCUGUGUGACAGUACAGCUGGUGAACCCACUCAGGACCAGAAGGUUGAUGAGGGUAAUCUUGAGAGCCAGCACCAGACCCUGGCGCCUCCUCCACCCCGGCCAGGAUCCCUCCCCCAGGGCCCAUGGAGCCACCAGAGGUAAGGCACCAUCAGGCAUCCCUUCCCUGUUUGUAAUUUUUGGAAUGUCUUCAGAAGUGACUUGUUUCAUUUCCUUUUGAUUUCUAUUCAAAGUGAUUUUCCUGUAUUUGAAUUUCAGACCAAGCAUUUUGCAAGGUCUUCAGACAAAGCCUAACAAAAUAUUGUGCCUUCCAUUUUUUUUUCUAUAACUCAAAAAAAAUGUGACUAAUUGUGUAAAAGUGUGCCCAGGUCAUAGCUGGGCACGAUAACAGAAAACCUUAUUCCCGAUAACCGAUAACUGAUAAUGGAAAACCUUAUCGGUAAUAACCGAUAUUCGUUAACUGGAAAUACAAAUAUAGGCGAUAACCGAUACCCGAUAUUAAUCCACAAUUCCGAUACUAGCUAGCGAUAAGUCCGAUAGGCGAAAACGAUUCUAUAUUGAUAUUUCAAAUAAAAAACAUAGAUGAAUUCAAAUUUUUAUUAUCUGUAUUUUAGAAA